This 123-nucleotide small nucleolar RNA is filed under the name Sorex araneus (European shrew). RNAcentral's name for it is "Small nucleolar RNA SNORA70 (ENSSARG00000018547.1)". It matches the Rfam family "Small nucleolar RNA SNORA70". From Rfam's summary of the family: snoRNA U70 seems to be exclusive to mammals and is a member of the H/ACA class of snoRNA which contain H (ANANNA) and ACA box motifs. H/ACA box snoRNAs are involved in the conversion of uridines to pseudouridines (5-ribosyluracil) a constituent of structural RNAs (transfer, ribosomal, small nuclear, and small nucleolar). Lineage: Eukaryota; Metazoa; Chordata; Mammalia; Eulipotyphla; Soricidae. The record is from RNAcentral.
GUGUGGCCAAUUAAGCCAACUGUGCUCCCUGCCCUGUGGGGCCCUGUGUGCAAUGGCAGCAAACAGCCUUCUCAGUAGUGUUCACGGCCUAUGGCUUGGAUGGGCUGUAAUAAGGAGACAGUU